GGGCGACUCCCCCGGGGCGGGGGUGGCGUGUGGUCUCUAGACAACUGAGGGAAAGUAGACAGACCGUGCUCACCGAUUUAAAAGAACAGCCGUGAAAUGACCCCCGUUACACCCUGUUCUCUUUAGACAAGUGACUUCCACCUGGAGCGGUUUCUAGGCCCGGGUAUGGGGAUUUCUUCACCCGGCCCCCUAGGCUUUCACCUCGGUGGAAUUUCCCGCGCCCCCGCUGGGAUGAUUUAGGGACUGUUGGCUAGAACUGCCCUUGCCUACCGCCCUGCUGCGGGCGCUCCCCUGUCUGGGGGGUGCUUGGCUGGGUGUGGAGAAGGAUCAAUCACAGCUGACUCCUCAGAGGUGACAGCCCCUGCCCCCUUAAAAACAAGAAAAGACCUAGCAGUGUGAAGCCAAACUGUACCCCCAGCCCCGGUGACAUGAGGAAACCGUGAGGCGCUCAGCCUGAGGUUCAUCGUUCAUCUCCUUCCUGCUUGGAAUCAGAAUGUCCUCACUGCUGAGUUUCUCCGUUUUAUGGGAUUACAUUAGUGGACAAAGGAGGAAGUCCCAGCCAGGAACACAGAAAGGAUAUGGAGAAAAUUAUUAUUCUGCCCCUACAGUUUCGGUGACCCAGAUGGGAUCUCUGGGACACCCUGCCUGCUCUACAAUUGGGAUCCCUCGAAAAGUGACAGAAUCUGGCAACAGAUGAGUAAGAAAGGUCACUUCCUGGCAGACAUCAGGUAUAUUGGGGACAUCAAGAAAAGAAUAAUUCAUCAAAGUCUAUAGAUAUUGCAGGCAAAGUUGAAACAAGCAAGACAAGUUCUCUUUGUAUUCUUGAGAGACUUGGAAAGUCUAACCUGAGAUUCCUUAUUAAAAGUUCCAGCAAAACAGACUUAAAAAGAGCCUAUAUGAUUUUUUUUUAAUUAAAAAGUAAACUUUAAUGUCGAAAAUGCAAACUUGGGGAAGACAGAAAAGAUCACAAACAAGGCUGUCACGUCACACUUGGAAGGUUGCACAGCGGCCAGGCAGAGGUACUCCUCACUUCCCAGAUGGGGCGACGGCUGGGCAGUGGCACUCCUCACUUCCCAGAUGGGGUGGCCGGGCAGAGGUGCUCCUCAUUUCCCAGACAGUGGGGCGGCUGGGCAGCGGCGCUCUUCACUUGCCAGACAGGGCGGCAGCUGGGCAGACGCACUCCUCACAUCCCAGAUGGGGCAGUGGCCAGGCAGAGGCACUCCUCACUUGCCAGACGGUGGGCAGCCGGGCAGAGAUGCUCCUCACUUCCCAGACAGGGCGGCAGCUGGGCAGAGGCGCUCCUCACUUCCCAGAUGGGGCAGUGGCCAAGAGCCUAUAUGACUAAUCACUACUCUUGUUGUACUUAAUCAGGGCAAGUAUAAAGAGACUAGACUUAUUUUGCAAAUUAGUCUUUACUGUGACUAUCUUUGGUAGAAAUGGAGGUGACAGAGAGAAAUAUUAUGUUUUAGUAAAAAAACUAUCAUGCACCUGUAAAAAGUAAAGUAGAGGUUCCUCUUCAAAGACUUUCCUCCCCAUCUGAUUAGGAACAAAUAGUAACUUCUCUUAGAAGCAAAAUUUAUUCAAAGACCCGUGCUAACAUUCUUAAAUAUCUGCUAGCCGUAAUAAAGAAAUCAAUGUACUUUAUGUUCUUAGCUCCCACAAUUUAGCCUAAAUAUUUGCCCUGGCAUGCUUAUACUGGUCCAAGAAAGCAUUAGGUCAUAGCCUGUUCUUCUUCCUUAUUCAAAGGUGUUUUUACCUUUCUCAGCAUUCCACGUUACCUCCUCCUUCCUUUGUUCUCCUCUGCCUUUGCCUCUUUUAAAAAGUUCUGAGUUGCUAGAAUACAGAAUGUGAGGUCCUGUUGCAGCCAAUGGAAACUGGGCACAGCAGUAGGGUGGAUGCGUCAGGGUAUAAAUGACCCUGACUCCUUUGCUCGGUGUACUCUAGUGGCAAAACUGCUGGCGAGUGUACCCUUUCUGCAGAAAGUAUACAAAUGGCCUUGCUGAGUAAAUUAAAUUUAUGUUCAAGUGCUAUUUCUUUACAGCACCAGGGAACAAGCAUUUCAAACACACCUGUGACUAGAUUCUAGUUCUGUUCAUUGUCUUUGAAGUUUUAUUAUUUACCUGCAAACUGGACUGGAUCCCCAAUUCUAGUUUCCUCCAAUAUCUGGUUAUGACUCUCCAAACUAACAUUGCAAUUUUUUUCCGACCCUUCUGACUUGGAAUCACUAAGAACAAACUGCUCUUUUCAUGAAGCUGCAAAAGCUGAAGCUGCUUGACUUGAUAUUAACUUCAGAGUGUCGAUGAAGAGUCAGACUGUUUGAUUGAUGAUCCAAUCAAACAUUUGAUUGAUGUCAAAUGUAUUCAUCAUCAAUCAAAUACAUUUGAGAAAUACAUUGGUCUUGUCCAGAAAGACAAGACAACUCAAAGCAGGGGCUUUCAGGCUAUAGGUUAAUUGAAACAUUUUCUGGUUGAAAAUUGGUUGAAUUUGUCUAAGACCUGCGAUGAUAGAAAGGAAAUGUUCAGGUUAAGAUAAAAGAUUGUGGAGACCAAGGUUCUUUUGAAGUCUUAUAGUGGCUGCCCUUAGAGACAAUAGAUGAUAAAUUUUCCUAUUCAGAUCUUUAAAAGGUGCUAGACUCUUCAUUAAUCUCUUCAGGAUUGGAAGGGCCUGGGAGAAAAAGAUCUAGCUUUGUUAAUAGAGAUUCUUUACAGAUACAAAUUUUCCCCCACAAAGGACAGCUUUGCAGGGCCAUUUCAAAAUAUGGCAAAGAAACAUGUUUUGGGUUAAAAUAUUUUAACUUUCUUCUUUGUCAUGUUAUGCUAGAGUCAGAUUGGAAAGUACGUCACAAUACAUAGGGUUAAAUAAAACCCAUCUGAUGAGAAUUUAUGGUUUGUAGAGGAAUGACCCCUUUGUACUUUUUAAGGUAUGAUGAUUCAUUUGGAAUUUCCUUUUGUAUGAGGAAUGAGGAAGAGAUUCAGCACUAUUUCUUUUCCCCAGUGGGCUAGCUUAUUAUUCCAGACAUUUAUUUAAAAAUCUAUCUUGGCUGGGUGCAGUGGCUCACGCCUGUAAUCCCAGCACAUUGGGAGGCCAGCACAGGAGGAUUGCUUGAGCUCAGGAGUUCAAGACCAGCCUCAUCAACCUAGUGAGGCUUGGUCUUUACCAAAAAUUAAAAAAAUUAGCUGGGUGUGGUGGCACACACCUGUAGUCCCAGCUAUUAGUGAGGUGGUGUUGCUCAUCUGGGGUAAUACCUGAGGUUCAUUGCCUCACACCAAGGAAAUAGAGGAUGCAGACACACGCAGGAGUGAGUUUAAGAGCAGAGGUUUAAUAGGCAAAAGAAAGAGAAUAGCUGUCUCUCCUACAGAGAGAGAGGGACUCCUGAGUGGGUCAUCCGGUUCUUUGGUGGAAUGCAUGGGUUUUAUAGAGGAGCUUGAGGAGGCAGUGUCUGAUUUACAUAGGGCACAAGACCUUGGUCGGACCAGGUGUGCCAUUUGCAUAGUGCAAAGAAACUGGCCAUCCCACCCUAAUCUUUUAUUAUGCAGAUGGGGUCUCUACCUGGCCAGUGCCAUGUCACCUGCUCUUUUACUGCAUAUGUGGGGACAAAGAAAAGGGAAGAUGGAGCCUCCAUGUUGAACAUGCCUGGCCUCCAGGUAGCCUUUUCCUAUUGGCACAGCAGCCAGCAUUCACUUAUGCGAGCUUCCAGCUUGCUUAUCUAUGUCUGCAGCUUGAUUUUACAGGCUCUCAGUCUGCCUUAUGCCCCUUGGAUGAAUUCUUUCCUCUGAAGAGGCAAGAAAUGAGGUUGCUACAAACCUGUAUGGAUUUGUCACUGCUAACAAUCUCUCCAUUUGUUACUUUUCUUUUUUUUUUUUUUUUGAGAUGGAGUCUUGCUCUAUUGCCUAGGCUGGAGUGCAGUGACACAAUCUCAGCUCACGGCAACCUCUGCCCCAGGUUCAAGUGAUUCUCCUGUCUCACCCUCCCUAGUAGCUGGGAUUACAGGUGUCUGCCACCAUGCCCGGCUAAUUUUUGUAUUUUUAGUAGAUGUAGAAAGUAAAAAGUUUCCUCUUCAAAGUUUUCCUUCUUGUUAAAGAAUAAAUCAUAAGUGUUAGGAAAAAUAGUUUCUUUUAAAGAGUAACUUUCUUCAAGCCUCCUUGCUUUGUGCUAAUAACUCUUUGUUAAACCCUAUCCUGUGUAACUGUUGGACAUGCUCACAGGCACGUUCCAGCUCACAGCCUAUGACCCUUCCUUAUAUGGAAAUGUUAUUGCUUCCUUAAACCUUCUGUAAGCAACUUCUUUGUUCUUCCCUGUACUAACCUAUUGAGGAAAGUUUUAGGCUAUUAGCAAAUCGGGUAUCAGUUUAAGAUUGUGAGGUCCUGCUCCAGCCAAUGGAUGCAGGAUACAGCAGUAGAGACGACCCAAAUGCUUAAGGGAUAACUAUGUCUGCUUUUCCUUUGUUCGAGUGUGCUCUCGCCAUUGUUCCAUCUGUGAGUGAGCAUCCUUUCUGCAGAAAGUAAAGAUGGCCUUGCUGAGAGAUCUUUUGUCUCUGUGCUUUCUUUUCUUCAUAGCACCGAUGAUCUAUUUCUAACAAUUUUGG
Molecule: long non-coding RNA, 4585 nt
Organism: Gorilla gorilla gorilla (western lowland gorilla)
Lineage: Eukaryota; Metazoa; Chordata; Mammalia; Primates; Hominidae
Exons: 3
Source: RefSeq, a predicted model, not a curated record